This 355-nucleotide unclassified non-coding RNA is filed under the name soil metagenome. RNAcentral's name for it is "partial contains 5.8S ribosomal RNA, internal transcribed spacer 2, and large subunit ribosomal RNA". The stretch from base 1 to 120 matches the Rfam family "5.8S ribosomal RNA", at positions 35 to 154 of the family's 154-position model. The record is from RNAcentral.
GAUGAAGAACGUAGCGAAAUGCGAUAAGUAGUGUGAAUUGCAGAAUUCAGUGAAUCAUCGAAUCUUUGAACGCACAUUGCGCCUUCUAGUAUUCUGGGAGGCAUGCCUGUUUGAGCGUCAUUAAACCUCUCUCAAGUAUGAUUACUUGGAUGUGAAGGAAGAGUACCUUAAACUUAAGGAGUGUUCUCCUUUGAAAUUGAUUAGCAGAUGGUAAUGUUAUUAAAUCCCUGAUGUUGUAAGAAAUAACAGUGGUUUUGUAGACUAUUAUCUAGCUUUAAAUUAUAAUUUUUAUUAUGGUUGACCUCAAAUCAGGUAAGGAUACCCGCUGAACUUAAGCAUAUCAAUAAGUGGAGGA